RNAcentral lists this ribosomal RNA (567 nucleotides) under uncultured beta proteobacterium. RNAcentral's name for it is "SSU rRNA". It matches the Rfam family "Bacterial small subunit ribosomal RNA", at positions 242 to 800 of the family's 1533-position model. The record is from RNAcentral. Lineage: Bacteria; Pseudomonadati; Pseudomonadota; Betaproteobacteria.
CAAGUAGUUGGUGGGGUAAAAGCCUACCAAGCCUACGAUCUGUAGCUGGUCUGAGAGGACGACCAGCCACACUGGGACUGAGACACGGCCCAGACUCCUACGGGAGGCAGCAGUGGGGAAUUUUGGACAAUGGGCGCAAGCCUGAUCCAGCCAUGCCGCGUGCGGGAAGAAGGCCUUCGGGUUGUAAACCGCUUUUGUCAGGGAAGAAACGCUCUGGGUUAAUACCCUGGGGUAAUGACGGUACCUGAAGAAUAAGCACCGGCUAACUACGUGCCAGCAGCCGCGGUAAUACGUAGGGUGCAAGCGUUAAUCGGAAUUACUGGGCGUAAAGCGUGCGCAGGCGGUCUUGCAAGACAGAUGUGAAAUCCCCGGGCUUAACCUGGGAACUGCAUUUGUGACUGCAAGGCUAGAGUACGGUAGAGGGGGAUGGAAUUCCGCGUGUAGCAGUGAAAUGCGUAGAUAUGCGGAGGAACACCGAUGGCGAAGGCAAUCCCCUGGACCUGUACUGACGCUCAUGCACGAAAGCGUGGGGAGCAAAACAGGAUUAGAUACCCUGGUAGUCCACGC